This 465-nucleotide ribosomal RNA is filed under the name uncultured bacterium. RNAcentral describes it as "partial 16S ribosomal RNA". It matches the Rfam family "Bacterial small subunit ribosomal RNA", at positions 28 to 507 of the family's 1533-position model. The record is from RNAcentral.
GAUGAACGCUGGCGGCGUGCUUAACACAUGCAAGUCGAACGGAAAGGCUCCUGCUUGCAGGGGUACUCGAGUGGCGAACGGGUGAGUAACACGUGGGUGAUCUGCCCUGCACUUCGGGAAAAGCCUGGGAAACUGGGUCUAAUACCGGAUAGGACGAUGGUUUGGAUGCCAUUGUGGAAAGUUUUUCGGUGUGGGAUGAGCUCGCGGCCUAUCAGCUUGUUGGUGGGGUAAUGGCCUACCAAGGCGUCGACGGGUAGCCGGCCUGAGAGGGUGUACGGCCACAUUGGGACUGAGAUACGGCCCAGACUCCUACGGGAGGCAGCAGUGGGGAAUAUUGCACAAUGGGCGCAAGCCUGAUGCAGCGACGCCGCGUGGGGGAUGACGGCCUUCGGGUUGUAAACUCCUUUCGCUAGGGACGAAGCGCAAGUGACGGUACCUGGAGAAGAAGCACCGGCUAACUACGUG